RNAcentral lists this ribosomal RNA (253 nucleotides) under uncultured bacterium. RNAcentral's name for it is "partial 16S ribosomal RNA". It matches the Rfam family "Bacterial small subunit ribosomal RNA", at positions 524 to 776 of the family's 1533-position model. The record is from RNAcentral.
UACGGAAGGUCCAGGCGUUAUCCGGAUUUAUUGGGUUUAAAGGGAGUGUAGGCGGUUUGUUAAGCGUGUUGUGAAAUUUAGAUGCUCAACAUUUAACUUGCAGCGCGAACUGUCAGACUUGAGUACACGCAACGUAUGCGGAAUUCAUGGUGUAGCGGUGAAAUGCUUAGAUAUCAUGAAGAACUCCGAUUGCGAAGGCAGCAUACGGGAGUGUAACUGACGCUUAAGCUCGAAGGUGCGGGUAUCGAACAGG